UAGAAUUGUACAAUUAUACAGACUCUUAAAUAUACACAGUCUACGAUCGUAGAGUUAAGUCACUCUAUAAUAGGGUAAAAUACAAAUGUGACUACUGAACUUUAGUGAUUUUUGGGUUUUGAGUCCUUUUUUUUUGGUCAACGCAUUUUGAGCCCUUUUCUAUUUAAAAAUUUGGACUUCAAGCCCCUGUUGCCAGAUAUGCGUUGACUUGCUGACGUGGUGCCUACGUGGCAUAUUUGACGUGGAUAUUUUUAUUUUUAUUUUACAUGUGGCAUAUAUGACGUGGCAAAUUUUGGGAUUGAACUAAAAAAUUUGUUGUUGUUAAUAUUCGAUCUCCAGACCUCCCACUCAAAGCUUCAAAUCAGUUACCACUCGAGCACCACUGGUUAGUUGAUUUUUAUUCGCAAGGAUUAUUAUGUAUAACAUUCAAUCCAAUUUUCCCCAAAUUAAAAUAAAACCCAUUCACACUCAAAUAAGUCUCCUUCUCUCGAUAAGUCUCCUUCUCUCAGUUCGUUCUUUCGAUCUUCAUUACCUUGUCUCUCUCUAUCUCGCUCGCUCGCUCUCGUAUUUUGCAGCCUUUCAUCUCAAAAAUUUGUGAGUAAUGAAAAGGGGAAAGCAACUUAAAGAAAAUAGCUACCAAAAGUUUGGGAACAGUUCAAUAUCCACUGAAUUCAGUGGGAUUUCAUCACCUAGGUAUUGUGGUUGUGGGAUACGAGCAAGAAUUUGUACAUCGUCAAAGGGCAACAAUGUAGGGAGGAAGUUUUAUGGUUGUUCAAAUUAUGGUGUAAGUACUUGUAUUUACUCUGAUAUAAAAUUGAAGAAUUUUUACAUACAAUCCUUGUGUUUUUUUAAUUUAAUUUUCUACAGAUGGAAACAUUUUGUGGCUUUUUUCAAUGGAUUGACUCCAUCCACAUGUUAGAAGAUGCUGAGAAUUCUUCGGGUCUAUUAAAUUUGAGGAGCGUUGAAAUUGACCUACAGAUGAUGAAGGAG
RNAcentral lists this long non-coding RNA (990 nucleotides) under Panax ginseng (ginseng). RNAcentral's name for it is "long non-coding RNA (PGIN_LNC004728)". The record is from RNAcentral. Lineage: Eukaryota; Viridiplantae; Streptophyta; Magnoliopsida; Apiales; Araliaceae.